GAUGAACGCUGGCGGCGUGCUUAACACAUGCAAGUCGAACGAAGCAUUUAAGACAGAUUACUUCGGUUUGAGGUAUUUUAUGACUGAGUGGCGGACGGGGGAGUAACGCGUGGGUAACCUGCCUCAUACAGGGGGAUAGCAGCUGGAAACGGCUGGUAAUACCGCAUAAGCGCACAGUACCACAUGGUACAGUGUGAAAAACUCAGGUGGUAUGAGAUGGACCCGCAUGUGUCUAGCUUGUGGGCGGGGUAAGGGCCCCCCAAGGCGACGCACAGUAGCCUACCAGAGAGUGUUACCCGCCACAGUGGGACUGAGACACGGCCCAGACCUCCACGGGAGGGAGCAGUGGGGAUUAUUGCACAAUGGAGGAAACUCACAUGCAGCGGCGCCGUGUGAGUGAAGAAGUUGUUCGCCAUGUAAAUCUCUAUCAGCAGGGAAGAUAGUGACGGUACCUGACUAAGAAGCUCCGGCUAAAUCCGUG
Molecule: ribosomal RNA, 481 nt
Filed under: uncultured bacterium
Lineage: Bacteria
Description: partial 16S ribosomal RNA
Rfam family: Bacterial small subunit ribosomal RNA
Source: RNAcentral